Molecule: ribosomal RNA, 138 nt
Filed under: uncultured eukaryote
Lineage: Eukaryota
Description: partial 18S ribosomal RNA
Rfam family: Eukaryotic small subunit ribosomal RNA
Source: RNAcentral
UGGUGGAGCGAUUUAUCUGGUUAAUUCCGAUAACGAACGAGACUCUGGCCUAUUAAAUAGUUCGCCGAUUCCGAUCUGUCGGCGUUAACUUCUUAGAGGGACAAGUGGCUUUUAGCCACGCGAGAUUGAGCAAUAACA